Small nucleolar RNA from Petromyzon marinus (sea lamprey), 95 nucleotides. RefSeq annotates it as small nucleolar RNA SNORD35. NCBI's taxonomy places the organism in Eukaryota, Metazoa, Chordata, Hyperoartia, Petromyzontiformes, Petromyzontidae. The record is from RefSeq and is a predicted model, not a curated record.
UUGACAUGAUGAGUAAUUCUCACGAUGGUCUUCAUAGCACCUUUGGUGAGGGAGCUUUGAUGAGGCUGCCAAUUGGCAUUUCCUGAUCAGGCCAC